UCCAGACUCCUACGGGAGGCAGCAGUGAGGAAUAUUGGUCAAUGGGCGAGAGCCUGAACCAGCCAAGUCGCGUGAAGGAUGAAGGAUCUAUGGUUUGUAAACUUCUUUUAUAUGGGAAUAAAGUGAGGAACGUGUUCCUUUUUGUAUGUACCAUAUGAAUAAGCAUCGGCUAACUCCGCGCCAGCAGCCGCGGUAAUACGGAGGAUGCGAGCGUUAUCCGGAUUUAUUGGGUUUAAAGGGUGCGUAGGUGGUUAAUUAAGUCAGCGGUGAAAGUUUGUGGCUCAACCGUAAAAUUGCAGUUGAAACUGGCAGUCUUGAGUACAGUAGAGGUGGGCGGAAUUCGUGGUGUAGCGGUGAAAUGCUUAGAUAUCACGAAGAACUCCGAUUGCGAAGGCAGCUUACUAAACUAUAACUGACACUGAAGCACGAAAGCGUGGGGAUCAAACAGGAUUAGAUACCCCUGUA
RNAcentral lists this ribosomal RNA (465 nucleotides) under uncultured bacterium. RNAcentral describes it as "bacterial SSU rRNA". It matches the Rfam family "Bacterial small subunit ribosomal RNA", at positions 330 to 792 of the family's 1533-position model. The record is from RNAcentral.